Molecule: ribosomal RNA, 601 nt
Filed under: uncultured bacterium
Lineage: Bacteria
Description: bacterial SSU rRNA
Rfam family: Bacterial small subunit ribosomal RNA
Source: RNAcentral
UGACGCUGAGGCGCGAAAGUGUGGGGAGCAAACAGGAUUAGAUACCCUGGUAGUCCACACUGUAAACGAUGAAUGCUAGGUGUAGGGGGUAUCGACCCCUUCUGUGCCGCAGUAAACACAAUAAGCAUUCCGCCUGGGGAGUACGGCCGCAAGGUUGAAACUCAAAGGAAUUGACGGGGGCCCGCACAAGCAGCGGAGCAUGUGGUUUAAUUCGACGCAACGCGAAGAACCUUACCAGGUCUUGACAUCCAGUAAAAGCCAUAGAGAUAUGGUGUGUCUUCGGACAUACUGAGACAGGUGGUGCAUGGUUGUCGUCAGCUCGUGUCGUGAGAUGUUGGGUUAAGUCCCGCAACGAGCGCAACCCUUGCUGAUAGUUACUAACAGGUAAAGCUGAGGACUCUAUUAGGACUGCCGGGGACAACUCGGAGGAAGGUGGGGACGACGUCAAAUCAUCAUGCCCCUUAUGACCUGGGCUACACACGUGCUACAAUGGCCGUUACAAAGAGGUGCAAAGCCGUAAGGUGGAGCAGAUCUCAAAAAAGCGGUCUCAGUUCGGAUUGUGGGCUGCAACCCGCCCACAUGAAGUCGGAGUGCUAGUAAU